This 119-nucleotide non-coding RNA is filed under the name human gut metagenome. Its description in RNAcentral is "THF riboswitch". It matches the Rfam family "THF (Tetrahydrofolate) riboswitch aptamer". From Rfam's summary of the family: THF riboswitch presents a pseudoknot that joins P1-P2 and the loop of P3 and two THF binding. The record is from RNAcentral.
GCAGAGUAGAACGUUAUGCGUUAAGUGCCGUAUGAACAGGGAGUUGUCAUAUGGACGAAAAGCACUUCUUAUCUAUCCGAUAGAAGUACGCUUGCGGUAUAAGGUUCGCAUCCCGCUGC